Molecule: ribosomal RNA, 489 nt
Filed under: uncultured bacterium
Lineage: Bacteria
Description: partial 16S ribosomal RNA
Rfam family: Bacterial small subunit ribosomal RNA
Source: RNAcentral
GAUGAACGCCAGCGGGAGGCCUAACACAUGCAAGCCGAGCGGGAUUUGUUGGUUAGCUUGCUAACUAACAAUGAGAGCGGCGUACGGGUGCGUAGCACGUGUGCAACCUGCCUUUAUCUGGGGGAUAGCCUUUCGAAAGGAAGAUUAAUACCCCAUAACAUAUUGAUUGGCAUCAGUUAAUAUUGAAAGCUCCGGCGGAUAGAGAUGGGCACGCGUAAGAUUAGCUAGUUGGUGAGGUAACGGCUCACCAAGGCUGCGAUCUUUAGGGGGCCUGAGAGGGUGAUCCCCCACACUGGUACUGAGACACGGACCAGACUCCUACGGGAGGCAGCAGUGAGGAAUAUUGGACAAUGGGUGAGAGCCUGAUCCAGCCAUCCCGCGUGAAGGACUAAGGACCUAUGGUUUGUAAACUUCUUUUAUACAGGGAUAAACCUACUCUCGUGAGGGUAGCUGAAGGUACUGUAUGAAUAAGCACCGGCUAACUCCGUG